RNAcentral lists this ribosomal RNA (466 nucleotides) under uncultured bacterium. Its description in RNAcentral is "partial 16S ribosomal RNA". It matches the Rfam family "Bacterial small subunit ribosomal RNA", at positions 28 to 507 of the family's 1533-position model. The record is from RNAcentral.
GAUGAACGCUGGCGGCGUGCUUAACACAUGCAAGUCGAACGAUGAAGCCUCUUUUGCUGCUUGGAUUAGUGGCAAACGUGUGUGUAACACCUGAGUAACCUGCCCUUAACUCUGUAAUAAGCCUGGGAAAUUGCUUCUACUACCUGCUAUGAGCGUCCACCGCAUGGUGGGUGUUGGACCUUUUUAUCUGUUUUGGAUGGACUCGGGGACUAUUAGCUUGUUGGUUAGGUACUGGCUCACCAAGGCGACUAAGGCUAGUCGGCCUGAGAGGGUGACCGGCCACAAGGGGACUGAGAGACGGAGCAGAGUGCUACGGGAGGCAGCAGUCGGGAAUAUUGCACAGUGGGCGCAAGCGUAAUGCAGAGACGCCGCGUGAGGGAUGACGGCCUUCAGGUUGUAAAAAUGUUUCAGUAAAGAAGAAGCGAAAGUGACGGUACCUGAAGAAGAAGCACCGGCUAACUACGUG